UUGUGGGAGCAAGCCAUGGGCUAGGUUCCGCUCCAGGUCAGACCAUGGUUGGCACUGAAGAGUGCGGCGACACUACAGAGCUGUGAACGAAGACAGUGAACGGCGAGAUGUGGUGACCGCUUGUCUGACUUGUGCCCAAAGUCGUGAUCUACCGCUGGGGUCAGUGCGUGAGAAGCUGGACUCGGCACCAACGGAGGACGCAGCUCGACGAGGAAGCUAUGCUGUGUUGACGGACGUCUGCCGGUUACGACCGGAAGGUUUCCGACGGGACUUGGCAGAACCCACAACAGCAGUAUGAACCCGGCGUGGAGUUAAUGCGUAGUUGCUCGCAUGAGCAACCGAAGAGCGACUUCCAGGCGAAGAUGCCGCAGAAUUCCUGGAGAUGCGCUGGGACAUGGAUCAUAGCAAGGUGGCUCUCAGCGGCAGCUGACCGCUGAGAUGUGUCUGAAACAGCCAGAAGGAAGACUCGAGUUGUGGUUCCAGGGCACGACUGAACAGAAGGCGGGACCAGCUGUAGGGAGACUACAGCAAAGCCGUCGUUCUCAAUCUGCUGAACAGACUCCUGCUGCAGAGGAAAAACUGGGGUUCGACGUGUUAGAACUGGGGUUAGACCGGUUACCAGUGCUCGUGUUCGUCACCUGUUUGUCACUGCUGUGCUGCUGCUGUAUGUCAUGUUUGCCACCUGCUAAACGUUCACAAUGUAUUUUGAGUGAAUAAUAACUUUUUUAGUGUUUGUCUUGAUUUGUAACGAAUAUAUCAAGUAUUUUAACCUUUCAUCAAAUGAAGGACUCCACAUAAAAAUAGUAUAGGCUGUGGUGGUACAGACACAUACCAUGCUUGGCCGACUAUUGUGUAUUGAUCUAGUCGUUGAAGCGUCCUGAAAGUCUGGAAAUAAACAGGCAUGGCCAAAUGGAUUGGUUCUAAUUAUUUUCCCGUGUGGUUUUAUCGCUUCCCUAUUGCGGGAAAACAAGUGGACAAUUUUGUUUGUAUGUAAACAAGCAUGUGUAUACAAAUAUUUGUAUG
Long non-coding RNA from Amphibalanus amphitrite, 1023 nucleotides. RefSeq lists it as uncharacterized. NCBI's taxonomy places the organism in Eukaryota, Metazoa, Arthropoda, Thecostraca, Balanomorpha, Balanidae. The record is from RefSeq and is a predicted model, not a curated record. The transcript has 3 exons.